GCCGUGAUAGCUCAGUGGUAGAGCAUCGAACGCAAUAUUCGAAGGUCGUAGGUUCGAUUCCUGCUUACUACA
RNAcentral lists this transfer RNA (72 nucleotides) under Rhipicephalus microplus (southern cattle tick). RNAcentral describes it as "tRNA-Leu". It matches the Rfam family "tRNA". From Rfam's summary of the family: Transfer RNA (tRNA) molecules are approximately 80 nucleotides in length. Their secondary structure includes four short double-helical elements and three loops (D, anti-codon, and T loops). Further hydrogen bonds mediate the characteristic L-shaped molecular structure. tRNAs have two regions of fundamental functional importance: the anti-codon, which is responsible for specific mRNA codon recognition, and the 3' end, to which the tRNAs corresponding amino acid is attached (by aminoacyl-tRNA synthetases). tRNAs cope with the degeneracy of the genetic code in two manners: having more than one tRNA (with a specific anti-codon) for a particular amino acid; and 'wobble' base-pairing, i.e. permitting non-standard base-pairing at the 3rd anti-codon position. Lineage: Eukaryota; Metazoa; Arthropoda; Arachnida; Ixodida; Ixodidae. The record is from Rfam by way of RNAcentral.